RNAcentral lists this long non-coding RNA (456 nucleotides) under Vigna radiata. RNAcentral describes it as "long non-coding RNA (VRAD_LNC005126)". The record is from RNAcentral. Lineage: Eukaryota; Viridiplantae; Streptophyta; Magnoliopsida; Fabales; Fabaceae.
GGACUCUUAGGCCUUAACUUUCAUGUAACCUAGUCGCGUAAGACUUGAGAAAAGAAUCAAUUUGGUGGUUGUAUGCAAUUGCAAUUGAUUCAAUUGGUUUUGAGAACUAUGGAUGAAUGGUGUUGUUGGGGUUUACAGUUUCAUCUUAUCCACUCUCAUAUAUCUACUCUUCUUAUUUAAUUCACUUGUUUAUCUAAUUGCCAUGCAAACUUUCUUAAUUACCCUUAGCCCAAUUCCUUGGUGAAAAGAGCCUAUUACUAAUUACCGGCUUGCUAUCCAUAGCCUCCCCUACUAACUAAUAAUGCAAUGCGUUCUGAAGCAAAUGCAAUUGACCAUCCUAUCCCUAUCCCUAGGCGAUAUUGGCAUAAUCAAGGAAUUUCCCACCAGUUCAUGACAUUAUCGUACGUCCCCACAUCGAUAAAGACAAACAUCAUUUACUGAAUGAGUUAAACAAUA